Molecule: ribosomal RNA, 585 nt
Filed under: uncultured archaeon
Lineage: Archaea
Description: bacterial SSU rRNA
Rfam family: Archaeal small subunit ribosomal RNA
Source: RNAcentral
GUGUAGCGUACCUACUAGCCUACGACGGGUACGGGUUGUGAGAGCAAGAGCCCGGAGAUGGAUUCUGAGACACGAAUCCAGGCCCUACGGGGUGCAGCAGGCGCGAAAACUUUACAAUGCUGGCAACAGCGAUAAGGGAACCUCGAGUGCCAGGUUACAAAUCUGGCUGUCGAGAUGCCUAAAAAGCAUUUCAUAGCAAGGGCCGGGCAAGACCGGUGCCAGCCGCCGCGGUAACACCGGCGGCUCGAGUGGUAACCGUUAUUAUUGGGUCUAAAGGGUCUGUAGCCGGCCGGAUAAGUCUCUUGAGAAAUCUGGCAGCUUAACUGUCAGGCUUUCAGGAGAUACUGUCUGGCUCGAGGCCGGGAGAGGUGAGAGGUACUUCAGGGGUAGGGGUGAAAUCUUGUAAUCCUUGAAGGACCACCAGUGGCGAAGGCGUCUCACCAGAACGGACCUGACGGCAAGGGACGAAAGCUAGGGGCACGAACCGGAUUAGAUACCCGGGUAGUCCUAGCCGUAAACGAUACUCGCUAGGUGUCGGCCACGGUGCGACCGUUGUCGGUGCCGUAGGGAAGCCGUGAAGCGAGC